This 496-nucleotide ribosomal RNA is filed under the name uncultured bacterium. RNAcentral's name for it is "partial 16S ribosomal RNA". It matches the Rfam family "Bacterial small subunit ribosomal RNA", at positions 28 to 507 of the family's 1533-position model. The record is from RNAcentral.
GAUGAACGCUGGCGGCAUGCCUAAUACAUGCAAGUCGAGCGAACAGACGAGGAGCUUUCUCCUCUGACGUUAGCGGCGGACGGGUGAGUAACACGUGGAUCACCUACCUCUAAUACUUGGAUAACUUCGGAAAACCGGAUCUAAUACCAGAUAAUAUAUUCAACCGCAGGGUUCAAUAGUUAAAGACGCUUUUGCUGUCACUUAUAGAUGAAUCCGCGCCGAAUUAGCUAGUUGGUAAGGUAACGGCUUACCAAGGCAACGAUGCGUAGCCGACCUGAGAGGGUGAUAGGCAACACUGGAACUGAGAAACGGUCAGAACUCCAAGGGGAGGAAGAGGUGGGAAAUUUUGACAAAUGGGGGAAGGCCUGACCAGGCAAGCCGGGGUGAGUAAGGAAGGCCUUCGGUUGGUAAAGCCCUUUUUUUGGGAAAGAACAAUGUGUAAGUAAAUCUGCACGUAUUGACGGUACCUAAUGAGAAAGCCACGGCUAACUACGUG